This 427-nucleotide ribosomal RNA is filed under the name uncultured bacterium. Its description in RNAcentral is "bacterial SSU rRNA". It matches the Rfam family "Bacterial small subunit ribosomal RNA", at positions 355 to 775 of the family's 1533-position model. The record is from RNAcentral.
UCGAGAAUUUUUCUCAAUGGGGGAAACCCUGAAGGAGCGACGCCGCGUGGAGGAUGAAGGUCUUCGGAUUGUAAACUCCUGUCAUUUGGGAACAAGGUGCCGACGUUAACUGCGUCGGCAUUGAUAGUACCAGAAGAGGAAGAGACGGCUAACUCUGUGCCAGCAGCCGCGGUAAUACAGAGGUCUCAAGCGUUGUUCGGAUUCAUUGGGCGUAAAGGGUGCGUAGGCGGCGCGGUAAGUCGGGUGUGAAAUUUCGGAGCUUAACUCCGAAACUGCAUUCGAUACUGCCGUGCUCGAGGACUGGAGAGGAGACUGGAAUUUACGGUGUAGCAGUGAAAUGCGUAGAUAUCGUAAGGAAGACCAGUGGCGAAGGCGGGUCUCUGGACAGUUCCUGACGCUGAGGCACGAAGGCCAGGGGAGCAAACGG